RNAcentral lists this ribosomal RNA (534 nucleotides) under uncultured bacterium. Its description in RNAcentral is "bacterial SSU rRNA". It matches the Rfam family "Bacterial small subunit ribosomal RNA", at positions 965 to 1504 of the family's 1533-position model. The record is from RNAcentral.
AAAACCUUACUACCCUUGACAUGCCAGGAACUUGCCAGAGAUGGCUUGGUGCUCGAAAGAGAGCCUGGACACAGGUGCUGCAUGGCCGUCGUCAGCUCGUGUCGUGAGAUGUUGGGUUAGGUCCCGCAACGAGCGCAACCCUUGUCAUUAGUUGCUACGUAAGGGCACUCUAAUGAGACUGCCGGUGACAAACCGGAGGAAGGUGGGGAUGACGUCAGGUCAUCAUGGCCCUUAUGGGUAGGGCUACACACGUCAUACAAUGGCCGGUACAGAGGGUUGCCAACCCGCGAGGGGGAGCCAAUCCCAGAAAACCGGUCGUAGUCCGGAUCGCAGUCUGCAACUCGACUGCGUGAAGUCGGAAUCGCUAGUAAUCGCGGAUCAGCUUGCCGCGGUGAAUACGUUCCCGGGUCUUGUACACACCGCCCGUCACACCAUGGGAGCGGGUUCUGCCAGAAGUAGUUAGCCUAACCGCAAGGAGGGCGAUUACCACGGCAGGGUUCGUGACUGGGGUGAAGUCGUAACAAGGUAGCCGUA